Molecule: ribosomal RNA, 492 nt
Filed under: uncultured bacterium
Lineage: Bacteria
Description: partial 16S ribosomal RNA
Rfam family: Bacterial small subunit ribosomal RNA
Source: RNAcentral
AGUGAACGCUGGCGGUAGGCCUAACACAUGCAAGUCGAACGGCAGCACAGUAAGAGCUUGCUCUUACGGGUGGCGAGUGGCGGACGGGUGAGGAAUACAUCGGAAUCUACUUUUUCGUGGGGGAUAACGUAGGGAAACUUCCGCUAAUACCGCAUACGACCUACGGGUGAGAGCAGGGGAUCUUCGGACCUUGCGCGAUUGAAUGAGCCGAUGUCGGAUUAGCUAGUUGGCGGGGUAAAGGCCCACCAAGGCGACGAUCCGUAGCUGGUCUGAGAGGAUGAGCAGCCACACUGGAACUGAGACACGGUCCAGACUCCUACGGGAGGCAGCAGUGGGGAAUAUUGGACAAUGGGCGAAAGCCUGAUCCAGCCAGACCGCGUGGGUGAAGAAGGCCUUCGGGUUGUAAAGCCCUGUUGUUGGGAAAGAAAAGCAGCAGGUUAAUACCCGGCUGUUCUGACGGUACCCAAAGAAUAAGCACCGGCUAACUUCGUG